This is a long non-coding RNA of Melanotaenia boesemani (Boeseman's rainbowfish), 2779 nucleotides long. RefSeq lists it as uncharacterized. The transcript is spliced from 2 exons. NCBI's taxonomy places the organism in Eukaryota, Metazoa, Chordata, Actinopteri, Atheriniformes, Melanotaeniidae. The record is from RefSeq and is a predicted model, not a curated record.
UGCAGUCACAGCCUCGACUCAGUCCACACCCUUUAACUUGAAGAGGAGUUAGGAGGUGGAGCAAGCAAGCAAUUGCUCGGAGCACAGUUUGAGCUUGGACUUGAGCUCUGAGGCUUUAGUGAGCAGCAUGUAUGAACGCCGUGACCUGUGUUGACUUUAAGCUGCAUUCUCUGACUUUUGGAUCUCCUCAGUUUUAGCGUGUGGAGGCAUCAAGGUCUCUUUUUUAUUAAAAAAAAAAAAGAAAUCCAUUCAAAGAUCUGUCAGACGGAGGAAAAAACAUGAUUUGGUGUUUUCUAGUGUGGAGACUCAGAUAAGGACUGGGAAUGAAGAGUGAUGGCUUGGAGAAAGGGACUGCAGGCAGGAGGCUGGGAGACGAAGCUUAACUCAUACAGGAAGGAAGUACAGGAAAUGUCCUAUCGGGAAAACAAGUAGCAAACGUAAUUGUGAACUCUAAGCUAAUUUACUGUUUGGGUGGUCAUGAAAGCAAAGCACUGAUUGUGUGUCUGUGCAUGUGUGUAUUUGCUAUUAACAUUAUUCUUGUUGUGAAUAUUGACAUUAUGAGUGGUUUUGUGUUUCCCAAAGCUGCAAAGACUUAAGAUCACAACACUGGAAAGCAUUGAGCAAUACAGAAAAAUAAACAUUUUUGUAGUGUUUACAAAGUAUUUUUACAACUACAGUAUAUUUGCUUUUUACACCACAAAAAGCUUUUAUAGUUUGACAAAUAAGGCCUGCUGUGUUGUCCUAGUUAGCCAGAGAUGAGACUGAUAAACCUACUUUUGACUUUCGAUAUAAGAAUCUCAAAGUAUUUGUUUAGUGUGUUUAUAUAAAAUUUUAAUUUCACUGUAUUUAAGUUAUUGCCAUCAUACCCAGUCCACUUUAAGUGUUAAUGCAAUCCUACUUUUUUCAGUAUCCUAUGUAAAUCUACAGUCACCAGCAAAAUUAUCCAGAGGACUGAGUGAUUAGAAGAAUUCAGUUUCAAAAUCCAUUGAAGCAGAAAUCCACUACAGUUUUUUGAUGAGUGAUUACAAAUUACGAAGUAGAAAUUGUUCAGUUUUCUUUGAAUCUGCAAGCUUAGUUUUCACCAGAUUAAAUUUUGUUGUCAAUAUCACAAGCAAGCCAAACACAAACCCAACAAUUAGGACCAGAAGUGCCGCUGUCAGCAGCUGCUGCCUGAGUUUGAGUCAACUUCGGCUGAAAUAAAAGUCAGGAACAUGACUCAGCUUCCAACAAAUAAGCAAUAACUCAAUUACCCGAUAAUGUUAAAUAUUACAAAAUUUCUGGAAACUGCAUUUCCUAACCAUUGUGUCUCAUCUGGUAGCUCCUAACUGGCAACUUGUAACCAGCUCUGCAGUGAUAAAAAAAAAAAUCAUAACUUUAUAGCAACGAGAUCCUUGCUGCCAUGUUUGAGACAUUUUUAACUUUUAGACCUUAAAUAAAUUUGCAAUUUGCUCGCAAUUAACUGACUACAUGGAGUAACUGAAAUAAUCACGAUUAAAACAUUUAAUCACUUAAUAGCACCAAAUUAGUUUUUUGUUGUUCCUUAAUUCAUUUUUCAAUUUUCAUUAUUGUUGUUUUAUUCUUAUUGUUUAUGUAAUAACAUCUUAUUGUUUCAUCUGUGUUUUUGUAAUACUGUGAAGUCCUUUUUCGGUUACAUUUUUUAAGGAACUCAACAAGACCCAUUUAGUAUUUGUAUUAAUAUUCAAGGUUGUGCAAAUCAACAAUUUUUAUGAACAAUAUGCAAUUUUGGGGAGCGGGCAAAUAGUGUUUUUAUUUUCAGUGUCUCUUUAAUGAAUCUUAUCUCCAUAAUAUUUAAUGUCCAUCCUUCUUGUGGCAGUGUAGCGGCUGUUAACUUUCUGUGUUUUAACAGCAGGGGGUUCGGGUGCCUGGGCUCAACCUCCUGUGCCUACUGAGCUGAUAACAGUUUGAUAUUAAACAAGUACUGGCUCAGUUCAGCAGGAACCGGAGUUAGGCCCUCUAAAGACAGCAACUCAACCACAAUCAACUUCUUCAAACAAGAAACCACACUAUCUGCAACAAUAAUUUGCAUGUGCCAUUAAUGCUUAUUAAGUACUGAUAGCAAUAUAGCUGGCUUUUCUCCAACUGAAGUCAACUUUAUUUUCUUUGCUGCUCUAAAAGAAUCUGUUUGAUUUUUCCCACAAAACCUCAUCAAGGCCAUUCUCCAAGAAACAGCCAGAGCAGUGCAAUACUCCGUUAAUCAGAGCAGAGGAAGCACAUAAAUGUACCCAGACAUCCUCUCCAUACCUUAAGCUCACACACUAAAGCCUGUGAUGGAGGAAAUCUGCUUCUGUUGGUUUGCUAUUUCUAAAACAUCACAGCAGCAGAGUUUUUCCAGCUGUAUUUGCCACAUUGUACAACGCGAAGGCUCCAGGAAAACUGCUUUGGGUGUUCCUUUUGACAUGUAAUGCAUUUCAGUAAUUGCAUGCCAUGUUUUAUUCAGUUUCCCUCUCUGCUAUUAGCAGUAUGCUUUAAGCUGAAUACAAAAUGAUGAUUGCAAUGUAAGAAAUGUAAACAGACAGCUGGAGUUACAUAAAGUUAAUUUCACUGCCUUUAUUAGUAAUUGCUGCAUAUUGCAGGUUAAGAUUAACAUCAUUAAGAGAUGAUCACUUUAAGUUGUGACCACAUUUUCAGAAACCUGUGAGUUUUGCUCAUUUCUGUCAAAAUGUCAACUGAAUUCCUGAAGCACAGAUAAAAAAAAAAGUUAAACAAAUUUAAGGAAAAAAUAAAAGAAAAUAUUAACUGUAAGAAUAAAAAGCUAUGG